This 375-nucleotide ribosomal RNA is filed under the name uncultured organism. RNAcentral describes it as "partial 16S ribosomal RNA". It matches the Rfam family "Bacterial small subunit ribosomal RNA", at positions 527 to 896 of the family's 1533-position model. The record is from RNAcentral.
GUAGGGUGCAAGCGUUAUCCGGAAUCAUUGGGCGUAAAGAGCUCGUAGGCGGUUCAGCAAGUCGGCUGUGAAAUUCCGAGGCUCAACCUCGGAACUGCAGUCGAUACUGCUGUGACUCGAGUCCGGUAGAGGAGAAUGGAAUUCCCGGUGUAGCGGUGAAAUGCGCAGAUAUCGGGAGGAACACCAGUAGCGAAGGCGGUUCUCUGGGCCGGCACUGACGCUGAGGAGCGAAAGCGUGGGGUAGCAAACAGGAUUAGAUACCCUGGUAGUCCACGCCGUAAACGUUGGAUACUAGGUGUGGGGUUCCGAUCAACGGUCCCCGUGCCGAAGCUAACGCAUUAAGUAUCCCCGCCUGGGAGUACGGCCGCAAGGCUA